UUACUUACCUGGCAGAGUCAACCAACUCGGGAUCAAUUAAGAAGACGAGUGGCCUAGGCUAGUGACUUGCUUAGCCUAAGGUCUUCUUCCCAAGUGGAAGAGCCUACGGCAUUAUUUGUGGGACAAGGGUUUGCGUUCGCAGCAGCCCCAAU
Arabidopsis thaliana x Arabidopsis arenosa is the source of this 152-nucleotide non-coding RNA. The record is from the annotation of a GenBank genome assembly. NCBI's taxonomy places the organism in Eukaryota, Viridiplantae, Streptophyta, Magnoliopsida, Brassicales, Brassicaceae.